Molecule: ribosomal RNA, 1111 nt
Filed under: Bacillus licheniformis
Lineage: Bacteria; Bacillati; Bacillota; Bacilli; Caryophanales; Bacillaceae
Description: bacterial SSU rRNA
Rfam family: Bacterial small subunit ribosomal RNA
Source: RNAcentral
UACAUGCAGUCGAGCGGACCGACGGGAGCUUGCUCCCUUAGGUCAGCGGCGGACGGGUGAGUAACACGUGGGUAACCUGCCUGUAAGACUGGGAUAACUCCGGGAAACCGGGGCUAAUACCGGAUGCUUGAUUGAACCGCAUGGUUCAAUCAUAAAAGGUGGCUUUUAGCUACCACUUGCAGAUGGACCCGCGGCGCAUUAGCUAGUUGGUGAGGUAACGGCUCACCAAGGCGACGAUGCGUAGCCGACCUGAGAGGGUGAUCGGCCACACUGGGACUGAGACACGGCCCAGACUCCUACGGGAGGCAGCAGUAGGGAAUCUUCCGCAAUGGACGAAAGUCUGACGGAGCAACGCCGCGUGAGUGAUGAAGGUUUUCGGAUCGUAAAACUCUGUUGUUAGGGAAGAACAAGUACCGUUCGAAUAGGGCGGUACCUUGACGGUACCUAACCAGAAAGCCACGGCUAACUACGUGCCAGCAGCCGCGGUAAUACGUAGGUGGCAAGCGUUGUCCGGAAUUAUUGGGCGUAAAGCGCGCGCAGGCGGUUUCUUAAGUCUGAUGUGAAAGCCCCCGGCUCAACCGGGGAGGGUCAUUGGAAACUGGGGAACUUGAGUGCAGAAGAGGAGAGUGGAAUUCCACGUGUAGCGGUGAAAUGCGUAGAGAUGUGGAGGAACACCAGUGGCGAAGGCGACUCUCUGGUCUGUAACUGACGCUGAAGCGCGAAAGCGUGGGGAGCGAACAGGAUUAGAUACCCUGGGUAGUCCACGCCGUAAACGAUGAGUGCUAAGUGUUAAAGGGUUUCCGCCCUUUAGUGCUGCAGCAAACGCAUUAAGCACUCCGCCUGGGGGAGUACGGUCGCAAGACUGAAACUCAAAGGAAUUGACGGGGGCCCGCACAAGCGGUGGAGCAUGUGGUUUAAUUCGAAGCAACGCGAAGAACCUUACCAGGUCUUGACAUCCUCUGACAACCCUAGAAAUAGGGCUUCCCCUUCGGGGGCAGAGUGACAGGUGGUGCAUGGUUGUCGUCAGCUCGGUCCUGGAAAUGUUGGUUAAGUCCGCACCGAGCGCACCUGAUCUUAGUUGCAAGCAUCAGUGGCCCUCUAAGGGGACUGC